CCACUGAAUCCCCCGUAAUCCUCCAGCCCUGCAUGAAAUGCAGACCGCGCAUGCGCGAUCCGGACGUGCAGGGGCGGAACUUGAUGGCCGGCAACGGCACACAGCGUCGCCGCAAAGUAUAUACCAGUGGCAAUGCAGGGCAGGUGCGGCGGCAGCGGACCAUUCCUCUCAUCUCCUCCGAACAUUGGGUGCAGCUGGCAGUUGGGAUGGGGAGUGAUGGGGGAACUGGCCUGGACUGGAGCGGAACUCUGAAGGAUGAUUGAGUUUGGAGACAGCUGGGAGCUCGGGGGAGAGGCAGAGGUAUAGAGAAAAGGAAGAUCUGCUGAAAGUAACACAAGGGCAGUGGACAUAUUUCACAAAGGAUGAUAUAAUUCAAGUAGUUGAAGCCGGCUAAUGAAAUAACAGGCGAUAUUUGUCUGUGAGGCUGAGCUGUGCUUAUUACUACUUCUCCCUAAAGUGACUCCUAGCAGCUCAAUAGAUAAAUAAACCUUGGAAGUGUUUGACAAGAAGCAGCUUCUCUUGUGAUGUCAGGAACUGGUCUAGAAGCAACUCCAUCAUCCUCUGAGACAAAACAGCAACUGCCUCCUGUGUGAUCAUCAAUGUGUUAUCUAGUUUUUUGGGGAGGGGACUUUCUCAUUCAUGAUGAGUCACUAGUCUAUUUGUAUAUGCUCCACAGGUUCAGCCUUGAAGACAUCCAUAGGGGCUGGCCUGAGCUUCCUGUC
Molecule: long non-coding RNA, 722 nt
Organism: Pseudophryne corroboree (corroboree frog)
Lineage: Eukaryota; Metazoa; Chordata; Amphibia; Anura; Myobatrachidae
Exons: 3
Source: RefSeq, a predicted model, not a curated record